ACUGUUUCCUUCUUGAAACCUUAAACUGAAGCAUUGUGUGUUUAUGCCAAGUUCACACAACACGACUUUCAAAGGUGUUAGACCACUGUACGGUUCAGACUACAAGACAAGCGGUCUUGUGAUCAGGAGUCUUGCAGUCAUUGUGAGUUCAUACUACAUUAUGGAAGGCGAUGGGGUUUCCAAACAUUAGAUCAUGAAGCUACGUGUCAAGAGAUCUGACUGAUCCUCCUGCUACAGAAUAACAUCAAGCUGAAGGAGACAGCUGCUCGGUGAAGAGUGGGUCCACCUUGGCGUGGAUGGAAACCAGCUGGCCCAGAGCCUCGGCAGCCCUCAGCCUCACUGCACGGCUUGAGUCCAGCAGGGCCUUCAGGAAGGUGGUCUGCAGCUGAGGGAGGAAGGGCUUCAGGGCGAUGCCCACCUGGAAGAGGAAAAUAAAAGGUUUGAGCCAAGAGAUAUGAAUCAAGAAAAAAUCAAACACCCUUAUGAAGAAAGAUAUGGAUGUAUAUUCAACUGUAUUUUUGGUGUCCUAUUGGGAGAUGUAGGCACAGACCUUUGCCAGCAGCAGGGUGAGAGUCUCCAGCAGAGCGGUCUUCACUGUCGAGGCAAACCGGUCUCCCAAGAUACGAAUGAGAGGUCCAGUUAUGUUGACAACAGAGGGCCUCAGCGCCUCAGGAGACGUCAGUUUGAUGAUCCCUCCCAAUGCUUUAGCUGCCUCUUCUUUCUGCUCAGGGCUGCCGGUGAGGACACCUUCUCUGAGGACAGGCAGGAUACAGGUCACACCCUGUGGACACAAACAGGAUGAAGAACAUAAUAGUGAAUAUCAUUUUCAUUGAUUAAUCUGUCAGUUUAUAUUUUGAUUAACUGCUUAAUUACUCUGUAACAUGUCUCAAAAGCUUAAUCUAACAACAUCAAAUUGCAUUUCCAAAGUUGCUAUAAUAAUUAAUUAUCUGCAGUGCUAUUUGCUGAAUGCUCACUCAUGCACUCAUGGCAUCAUUAUAGAGUUAUUACUGUCCUUGCAGACAAUUAGAAUAAAUAGUUUCAGCUUCGCGCAGUUUUUCUCUUUCAAGAUAAAACUAGUUUUUCAAUCUUUAGACUUUGUACCCAAGACUUUGAAUCUGCUGCACAUGAAAGAAAUGGAACGCCCAUACAUACAGCCCCAAUACCGCCAUAGAUUGAAAGAAUUUUGUGGGAAAUGCUGUGUAAAAUAUUGAAACCAGUGUGAUGAGACAUUUGUAUUUAGAUAAGUUUGAUGAAAGAUUGACACGUAUAUAUUGGGGAAAUUAUUACAAGCUGCUUUCUGUGUGGUUUAAACUGGUGAAAUCCUCUUUGCUGAUGUGUAUUGGCUGGAGACGCCUGGUCCUGCUGCUGAAACAAAAGGGUUUUCACAGCAGGGGCUCUCUUAAGGCUGAAUUAUACUCCUGCGACUGCAACCGCGGAAGGCCACGCAGCUGCAUCGACGGACUCGUUUUGGUUUAUACUUCUCUAACGUGUUGCGCGUGUUGCAACGCAAUUCACCGCCAGAACCCUAGGCGGAGUAACGUUUUUUUUUCAAAGACAAAACACAAAAAGAAGAGACGUCUUCUUCUUCGUCGACUGUUUAUUUACAUCGCCACUCCGGCUCCUCAUAGCCUAUUUCUGGCGGACAAAUCGGCCAGUCAGUGACGGGUUAUACAAGUGGUCAUACUUUCGGAUCUCUUCUGCCAAGUGCUCUUCUAUUUGGUCCAUAUUCGUUCUUCUAAAUCUUCCGUGAUUUCCGCGUAUUGUGGGGCAUGAAACCGGAAACUAGACUCCGGACGGGAUGUAGUAAGCCGACCAAUCACAAGCCUUGCGGGCUGCGUGAGGCUCGCGUCGUUUUGUCGUAUAGUUAGAAAAAUUGGCGGACGCACGCAAGCCGCCAGAGGGCACGAAAGGGGCGUGUUGCGUGUCUUGCGUGCAUGCGUGCGUGCGUAAAACCCGACUAUAAUUCGGCCUUUACACUCUGCAACAGGGUGACCAUAGGUGUUUAAACGGCGCAGACGAGGGGGUCUGAGAGAACGGGGGUUUCACUGAGAGAAACAGGUUUUACUGAGCAGAGGCCUGAUGUAAAUGUGUAGUGAGACUUCGAAGGGGUCCUCAUUCAGAUUGAAGGUGACCAAAUCUAAGCCUGAAGACAACACGCAGAGAGCUGAUUGGAUAAACAUUCUACCUCUGUGAAAGGAGGGGCUUAUUUAGUAUAAAUCAAAUGUGAUUUCAUUGUUCAGGGCCAUUGACUCAAAGUCUGAAAGUGACAAGAGUGCUCUGGCCCCUAGCCGCAGCUAGGUUGAAUUGUAUGAACCAGAAGAUAAUUGUUUGUCGUGUUAUGUAUUAAAAAUCCCAAUACACCAGAGAGCCAAAAAACUGCUCAUAUUUGUGAAAAUGGAACCACUUAAUUUUUGGAAUUAAAAAAAUGUUAAAGUCAAACACUAUUGUUGAUCAAGUUUGUUAUUGAUCAUGGCUCCCGAUAAUUAUUAAUUUGGUUGAAUUGAUGGUACAGAAUUAUACAGAUGAAUUAAAACAGAUAAGUGGAGACAUCUCUAUUGGGAGAAUUAUAAUCGGAAAUGUGACAUAACUGAACGAGAAUGAUGCCCACAGCAAAGUUGUAGUAAAAUUCCAACACAUGAUCGUUAGUAGAUAAAAACAUAGAACUACCAACAAUGUGUCAGGAGGAGCCGUCUUACCUUCUUGGGCAGACAGAAACCAGGCAGGUGUUGACCCUUCACAUCUGCAGCUACUGAUCUAAUGUCCCGGUGCAGGUCAUCGAUUAGAGCCAGCUGGCUGCUCGCGUCCAGUUUCUGUGAGACAAAAAGUAACAACACAUUGUUCACAUUUACCCUUUGACUAUACAGGACUAAACUCUUUGCUUUAUUUCCACCAUGUAGUGUUAAUACGAAUAUGGUAUCUCUGCAUCAAUGCAAAGAUGAAGUUGUGUACAGGUACUUUUCAUUUCCACUUCAACACACCUUGGUGAUGGAGUUGAUGGUGUCCCAGCUCUGAGUCAGGACCCCUGGGUUUGAGUCAUUGAGAAGGCGGAUGAGGCCGGACAGUAAAGUGCGUGUGUGGGAACUGUAGUCCAGGCGGGUACGAGCAAAGUAGGCAUUGAGGAUGGUGACGGAAGCCUGUCUGUGGCCAGGGUCAGCACCUCGUGUGGCCUCCAGCAGGUCAUCUAUGAUGAUGCGCUGGCCCAAAUCGUCUUCAACUGACAGGAUCACUGUUUGGCAAUUGCAGAGCUCCUGAAGCAAACAUAAUCCAUCAGAGUGAUCGUUAGUUCUUUACGAGCAUGAGGACAGAACGAGAAGGUUGUGUAACAGGAGCGGUGGAUGUAAUAAUUUGUGGGUGCUGGUGUUACCUGUGCUUCAUCCUCUGUUCCCAGCUUCCCUUUGAGGGAGGAGAGCAGAGCAGGCAGAAUGACGCCCAAGUGGCGUGUCAGAGCAUCGCCAGCCACAGCGGACAGGAAGGCCAGCACACGGGUGUUCACAGGAGGAGCAGUGAGCUGGUGAGGGAGGACAUCGGCGUUAGUCAGUCAUCUGGACACAAUAAUAUGGAGUAACACAAGAAAACCAGACUGUGAACAUUACCUUUGGAACCAGGUAAGGCAGAACAGAGCGACUCUUCACCGCCAUGACCUGCUUAAGACCAUCCAGAGCAAAGCCAGCCGUCUCCUCAUCAUCCUGGGAAAACACAUUCAAUUUAUUAUAGAUUAGUUCUUUUUUUUUUUUUUUUUUUAAAUGGUAUCUAAAUUUUACAUUAUUUGUGUCCUUGUUCACUCACCAGCUGUCUGAGCAGGCUAGGCAGGAUGUCAUCCAGUGCCUGGUGACCAAUGGUUGCAUGGAGCUGCUCGAAGGUUUUGGCUGCAGCCUCUCGAACCUCCUCCAGUGGGUCACAUAAAGCUUUCCUGACUGUUGGGACCAGUGAUUCGGAGAAGACAAGUACCUGCAGUGCAAUAACAACAGAGAAAUGUGUGUGACUCACCGCAUCUCUGCUGGUGGACUUCAUGAUCUCACUGAGUCCGAUGCAGACGCCCUGCCUCUCAUCGCUCUUGUCAGAGCGCAGUCCCUCCUCUAGGAUGGGAAUGAUCUCAGGGAGAAUCUUCUCUCCCAGCUUCCUCACCAGGUCACCCAAUGUCCGAGCAGCAAUCUAUAACCACAUGGACACAGAAUCAGUGGGGGGUGGAGGCAAGGAAACCCAGCAGGAGAGAGAAGAGGGUUGGGAGGAUCUCCCGAAGAGUUCUGGGGGUGUUGGACACCACGAUCUUCCACACGUGGAGGGAAGCCUGUCUAACCACAAGCUGGGUGUCUACCCGACCCAUAUAGAGGCCAGAGAGGACGCGGUUACGCCGCUCACCGCCAAGAGCACCAAUGAUGGCCUGUGGGGGAAGUUCAAAGGUCAGCAAUGCAGCAUUGGAGCUGAACAAUCCCUCAUUUGAAAUUAAGUCUCAGUUUUUUUAUUAUUAACUGGAUAAAUACGUGUUGGAUUUGUUGUUGGAAUUCUAUUCACUUUAUUUGAUGCUGCUGUCCCGAAGUUGUCAUCCUCAGAGGCCGUCUCUGUGGUCAUCUUUCCUGUUACUCCAGAGAUAUGGAACAGUAGAUCUCCAAGCAGCUGCACAGAGCUGAACCUGCACACCAACGGCAGCAUGGACACACAUUUAGUCAUCAAAGAGACCCUGUUCCAGCUCAGGAAGCAGCAAUGCGAUGGCGGUCUCGGCAUACAUGCUGACGACUCGCUGGCCCGCUCGCAGUGCUGUGUCCCUCACAUAUUCGUUCUCAUCAGCCAGGGCCUGGCGGUGAACAAAGAGAGAGAAAAAGAUACUGAGCUGCAGUGAAGUGUGAUCUGCAGAAUGAUACACAGCUUAAUGAUUGAGGUACUUGAGUCACUGACAAGGCAGUUUCCUGAUAUAGAUAAAUUUAACACAAAGUCCAGAGUUCCAACUUUUUAAUGAAAUUUAGAACUUAUCAAAUCGUUAGUUAUGAUGGAAUAUGAAUAUGAUGAGUAUUAGGGCUAUAUUGGAAUUUCGAGAAUAAUUACAAGUCGUAAUGAUAUUACAAUAAUUUAAAAUAUCGAUCCGAGAUGACCUCUGUUUGCUGGGGUUUCACUACUUAUAGAUUCCAAAUCUUGAACCAAUCUCAUUGUUGAUGAAAAUUACAAAGUACCAAUACCAAACAUUCCCUCCUCUACCAUAGACACAAAGUCCCCAGAGUUUGUGUGAUUCUUUCUUAUGAAUAAAAAAAGUCCUGAUACUUAGGUCAAUAUUUUUGAUGGUGCUGAUGAGCCAAAAGAUUGAGCAGGUCAUAUUAUGACUGUAUUCUCGUAAUAUUACUUAACUCACAAUGUUUUUUCCCUUUAAAUGCCACAGUAGCCUUUGAGUGGUCAUCAAUACUAGAAAAGCGCUAUAUAAAUACAAACCAUUUCAUAUGUAUACCUAUACUUUGGUUGUACUCAAACAAAAAAUAAAAUCAAAACUCAGGGCUAAAUUGGAAAAAAUACUAACAGAUUCUUGUUAACAGAUUGAGUGGCCAUUACCUUGAGAACGCAAGGGAUGAUGGGCCCAACAUAAGGAGUGAACCUCUCUCCAAAGGUCAGGGGCAGGUAGAUAAACAACAUGAUGUAGCCGUCUCUGACGUGGGAAGCGAUGUCGACCUUGCUGGCUGUCGCCACCACAUCUGGCAUUAGCUUGUCCAGCUUCUCCACUCCCAGUCCAGCCAUCACCUCAGCAAGACCUGAACACACCAACACACAAAGCAUUCAGUGACUCAGGUGUUCAAUGAUAUCGGGCACACAUCUCCACCAACACAACAAGAGAGUGAAGAAGAACUGACCUUGUGCAGCUCCGGAGCGAUCUACAGAGCUCUGUUCAGAGGCCAGGGUUUCCAUGAGCCACGGUAGCAGGUCAUCGAAGCAGGUCUCACCCAUCCCCUUUACCAUCGCACCCAAGGCCUUGGCUGAGACGGUACGAACCUGGAGAGGAGAAGAAGAGCGACUCUGGUUUCAACUCUAUACAACAGAACACAGUGGUGGGGCAUAUUCCAGAAAGGUGCUGAGGUGAAAACCCAGUGUCGCCUUCUGCUGAGUCUGAAGACGAUGACACUGUGCUUCAUUUCCUCAUUCAUAUAAUUGAUCUGAAAGCAUUACUUUGCAGACGUUCAUGACGAUCAAAAGAUGAUGAAACCCCCAGCUGCAGAGCUGGGGGUUUGUUAGUUUGCUAAACAACACCUAUCUAUAUUAAUGUUACCAUUAAGUCAUCAGCGUAAGGAGAGCGAAAAGCUCAGUGUAAGUUUCUGGCUCCUUAAACUUAAUCAUUAACUGUAUAUUACUGAAAUUCUCACUGUAAAUAAAGAAAAUUAUCAGUGUUAAAGCCAAACGUCACUGAUCAAUGAAUAAUCAUUUCUCAUAUUUUGACAUAUACUGUGACAUGUGAGGUCUUAAAAAUGAAUAAAAUGUUUAUGGUGUUUUAGGUGAAUAAAUAGUGUAUUUAAUUAUUAAUUAACACACGUCAGGCACUGGGUCCAACAGAGAGGCCUUCAGUCCAGGGAUGACACUCGGCAGGUAGGGUGAGAGAUCCUACAAACAAUGACACAAAUCACACCAUUAACAAAAUGUGUCAAAAAGUCUUCAGAAUACAAAGGUUUGAAGGACAAGUUAAUAUGUUGUUUGUGUUUUAAAGUUCAUUGUAAUAUUUCUUCACAGCUUGCUUACCUUCUGGUCAGUGAGGGAGUACAUGUUGCCAAUGAUCUGAGCGGCCAUCUUGCGUGUGUCAGUGGAGCGAUCCUGGAAGGCUCUCUGGACGAUGGGCAUGAUGAGGGCGAGUGAGGCAGCGUCGAUGAAGUGAACGAACUUGGUGUCCAGCAGUGUCUGCAGGCAUGUCUGUGUCUUUUUGGAUGGAUCCGUGAGGGCGUCCAGCAGGACGGGGGUUAU
Pleuronectes platessa (European plaice) is the source of this 6927-nucleotide long non-coding RNA. RefSeq lists it as uncharacterized. The record is from RefSeq and is a predicted model, not a curated record. NCBI's taxonomy places the organism in Eukaryota, Metazoa, Chordata, Actinopteri, Pleuronectiformes, Pleuronectidae. The transcript is spliced from 5 exons.